CCUACGGGCGGCAGCAGUAGGGAAUCUUCCGCAAUGGACGAAAGUCUGACGGAGCAACGCCGCGUGAGUGAUGAAGGCUUUCGGGUCGUAAAACUCUAUUGUUAGGGAAGAACAAGUGCUAGUUGAAUAAGCUGGCACCUUGACGGUACCUAACCAGAAAGCCACGGCUAACUACGUGCCAGCAGCCGCGGUAAUACGUAGGUGGCAAGCGUUAUCCGGAAUUAUUGGGCGUAAAGCGCGCGCAGGUGGUUUCUUAAGUCUGAUGUGAGAGCCCACGGCCCAACCGUGGAGGGUCAUUGGAAACUGGGAGACUUGAGUGCAGAAGAGGAAAGUGGAAUUCCAUGUGUAGCGGUGAAAUGCGUAGAGAUAUGGAGGAACACCAGUGGCGAAGGCGACUUUCUGGUCUGUAACUGACACUGAGGCGCGAAAGCGUGGGGAGCAAACAGGAUUAGAUACCCUAGUAGUC
RNAcentral lists this ribosomal RNA (466 nucleotides) under uncultured bacterium. Its description in RNAcentral is "bacterial SSU rRNA". It matches the Rfam family "Bacterial small subunit ribosomal RNA", at positions 338 to 795 of the family's 1533-position model. The record is from RNAcentral.